This 1892-nucleotide long non-coding RNA is filed under the name Helianthus annuus (common sunflower). RNAcentral describes it as "hypothetical non coding rna". Lineage: Eukaryota; Viridiplantae; Streptophyta; Magnoliopsida; Asterales; Asteraceae. The record is from RNAcentral.
UUUAUAAAGAAAAGAAAAGUGGGACAGCGAAAGAGAGGGGUCAUCGGAGAGGAGAGCGAGGUUAUCUGAGCAACGACGACGGCCUCUUUCGUUGCUGUUGUCGGAACCAGUUGUCGGUUUUUGUGGUGGCUAGCGAGUUGGUCUUGAAGAUUGCUACGAUCAAUUAGAGUUUUUUUAUAGCAAUGGAUUCCAACCGGCUUGAUGAUAAGAUUGACGACAAGAGGUACGAUAACGAGCGACGAUCCAUCAACCAUCAAUCGGUAUUUAAGUUUUCCAAUAAAGACCUUGAUUUUGUAAUGUCUUGUUGAUUAUGUAUGUUUUUUAUAUUAUGGGAAACUACAAAUACACAUUUAUUUAUUUUUAAGAAUUUGCAACCAAAUCAAAGACUGCAUAAAAUUAGCGAUCUGUUCAAGAAAGUCAUAUAAUAUGCAUGUUUGAUUUGAUUUAGGGUUAAAUCUAGGUUUCAUUUCUAGGCUGAGAGAAUGGUGUUUGGAGUUGGCUUUUUUAGGGUGUCCAAUGUCAUUGAAGACUCCUAAAGCUGGUCGUUGGUUAUUUGUAAAGAUUGUCAUGAAAAUAAUUGGUAUAAUCAUUGGAAGAAAUGUUCACUUCUGAAUUCCCAUCGCAUCGGCUACAACCUCGCCGAUGGUAUGUAUUGCUUAGAGUUCUUUUUGUACCAACAAGCACCCAGUUUCAACUAGGUAUCAGUCACAUGUCACCGAUUUUCAUCAUGUAAUAGCAAUUACCAAUUAUCUACUGUAUAGAAUUGAGUAGCGACUGAAGUUGUUUGGUUUGAAUUUUAGGUUUUGAGAAGUAGUUUGAGGUCAUUGCAAAGAAAUUGUUGCUAUAAAACACUUAAAAUUAGUUUCAGCAUUACCAUAUGUAUUAGACUUUGUUUCAAGGUUCAAUACGAGUUACAAUGAACGCCAACUUAUUUGUUUGAGUCUUGCAUUUUAUGUUGUUCGAAAGGCUUAAUUUAGUUAGGAGUUAAAGUUUUACGUUGUUCCAAAUGCUUAAUUUAGUUAGGAAUUAAAAGGGUUUAGAAAGAAAAGGUUGGAGUUUAGUUUUUCGGUUUAGAUCCACCUUAAAAUGGUAUAGAUUAGUCAUAUUUAGGUGUGUGAUACGAGUUUCGGGCUUAUUCCGAAAGGGGUUAUGAAACCAAUUUGCACAAGUUAGUAGUUUGAAGCCAUUGUAGAGAAAUUGGUGCUAUAAAACAUGUAAAAUUGGUACCAUAUUACCAUGUAUACUAGACUUAGUUACAAUGUUCAUUUCGAGUUAAAAAAAACUUAAGUGAUAAGCAGAUGGUAAAUAUGUAAACGUAUUGACAUUGUUUAAUCUCCUUUUGGCAUCAGAUUGAAUUGUUUUGCAGUGAAUGCUGGAGCCCAAAGCAUAGUGGAACCAAAUUCAAGUAUAAGUAUUUUGAAAGGGGCGAUGUGUUACAAACGAAUGAGUUAAAAAAUUCACUUAAAUUUAGCUCAAACUAUUAUGAGUUGUUUGUUAGCAAAAAACUCAACUAAGUGAACCACCCAAUAGAGCCCACAUAAGAAGCCCAACUUCAACUGUAUGUACUAUGUAAUGCAUUACUUGUGGUUUUUGGAGAUCUAAAAUACAAUAGUCGUUAAUGCCCACAGUUCGGCACAUCAGUUGGUCUUUCAUCGACACAAAUUUUUAUUUUGGUCAUUACACUUCGUUUUACAAUAGUGUUUGAAAGUGAUACAGUAGUCACUAACGCCCACAAUUCGACACAUCAGUUGGUCUGUCGUCGACGUAAAUUUUUCUUUUGGUCAUUAUUCGUUUUAUAGUAGUGUUUGAAAGUGUUCUAUUACUCGAUUUGUAAUGUUAAUUUUCGAUAAAUAAAUUGUUAUAUUUGUUGGGCAUCUAGCGGUGAAAGUAUG